AUUGAACGCUGGCGGCAGGCCUAACACAUGCCAGUCGAGCGGAUGAAGGGAGCUUGCUCCUGGAUUCAGCGGCGGACGGGUGAGUAAUGCCUAGGAAUCUGCCUGGUAGUGGGGGAUAACGUCCGGAAACGGGCGCUAAUGCCGCAUACGUCCUGAGGGAGAAAGUGGGGGAUCUUCGGACCUCACGCUAUCAGAUGAGCCUAGGUCGGAUUAGCUAGUUGGUGGGGUAAAGGCCUACCAAGGCGACGAUCCGUAACUGGUCUGAGAGGAUGAUCAGUCACACUGGAACUGAGACACGGUCCAGACUCCUACGGGAGGCAGCAGUGGGGAAUAUUGGACAAUGGGCGAAAGCCUGAUCCAGCCAUGCCGCGUGUGUGAAGAAGGUCUUCGGAUUGUAAAGCACUUUAAGUUGGGAGGAAGGGCAGUAAGUUAAUACCUUGCUGUUUUGACGUUACCAACAGAAUAAGCACCGGCUAACUUCGUG
Molecule: ribosomal RNA, 484 nt
Filed under: uncultured bacterium
Lineage: Bacteria
Description: partial 16S ribosomal RNA
Rfam family: Bacterial small subunit ribosomal RNA
Source: RNAcentral